GGUGUAGGGACAUUAAACUAUCGGAACAGACACUAAUCUUACAGAGAAGAUUAGCAUGGCCCCUGAACAAGGAUGACAUGCAAAUUCAUGAAGUGUUCCAUAUAUUU
Small nuclear RNA from Hyaena hyaena (striped hyena), 107 nucleotides. The record is from RefSeq and is a predicted model, not a curated record. NCBI's taxonomy places the organism in Eukaryota, Metazoa, Chordata, Mammalia, Carnivora, Hyaenidae.